This 75-nucleotide transfer RNA is filed under the name marine sediment metagenome. Its description in RNAcentral is "tRNA-Phe". It matches the Rfam family "tRNA". From Rfam's summary of the family: Transfer RNA (tRNA) molecules are approximately 80 nucleotides in length. The record is from RNAcentral.
GUCGGAGUAGCUCAGAGGUAGGGCUCCCGCCUGAAGAGCGGGGAAUCGCAGGUUCGACUCCUGCCUUCGACACCA